Molecule: ribosomal RNA, 1525 nt
Filed under: Orenia sivashensis
Lineage: Bacteria; Bacillati; Bacillota; Clostridia; Halanaerobiales; Halobacteroidaceae
Description: bacterial SSU rRNA
Rfam family: Bacterial small subunit ribosomal RNA
Source: RNAcentral
GUUUGAUCCUGGCUCAGGACGAACGCUGGCGGCGUGCUUAACACAUGCAAGUCGAGCGAGAAAGCUACCUUCGGGUAGUGAGUAAAGCGGCGGACGGGUGAGUAACGCGUGGGUAAUCUGCCUUUAAGUUUGGGAUAACUUCUCGAAAGAGAAGCUAAUACCAGAUAAUCUCUUUUAGAGUAAAGAUGGCUUUGCUAUUGCUUAAAGAUGAGCCCGCGUCCCAUUAGCUAGUUGGUGAGAUAAUAGCUCACCAAGGCAACAAUGGGUAGCCGACCUGAGAGGGUGAUCGGCCACACUGGGACUGAGACACGGCCCAGACUCCUACGGGAGGCUGCAGUGGGGAAUCUUCCGCAAUGGGCGCAAGCCUGACGGAGCAACGCCGCGUGAGUGAUGAAGGCCUUCGGGUCGUAAAGCUCUGUCCUUAGGGAAGAACAGUUUAGUUGCUAAUACCAGCUAGAUUUGACGGUACCUUUGGAGGAAGCCCUGGCUAAUUACGUGCCAGCAGCCGCGGUAAUACGUAAAGGGCUAGCGUUGUCCGGAAUCAUUGGGCGUAAAGGGUACGCAGGCGGUCUAGUAAGUCAGAGGUGAAAUCCAUCAGCUCAACUGAUGAAUUGCCUUUGAUACUGUUAGACUUGAGGAUAAGAGAAGAAAGCGGAAUUCCUAGUGUAGUGGUGAAAUACGUAGAUAUUAGGAAGAAUACCAAUGGCGAAAGCAGCUUUCUAACUUACUCCUGACGCUCAGGUACGAAAGCUAGGGUAGCAAACGGGAUUAGAUACCCCGGUAGUCCUAGCCGUAAACGCUGGAUACUAGGUGUUGGAGGUUCGACUCCCUUCGGUGCCGCAGUUAACGCAUUAAGUAUCCCGCCUGGGGAUUACGACCGCAAGGUUGAAACUCAAAGGAAUUGACGGGGGCCCGCACAAGCGGCGGAGCAUGUGGUUUAAUUCGAAGCAACGCGAAGAACCUUACCAGAACUUGACAUCCCUGUGACUAUUCCGUAAUAGGAAGUCUCUCUUCGGAGACACAGAAGACAGGUGGUGCAUGGCUGUCGUCAGCUCGUGUCGUGAGAUGUUGGGUUAAGUCCCGCAACGAGCGCAACCCCUAUUCUUAGUUGCCAGCGAGUAAUGUCGGGGACUCUAAGGAGACUGCCGCGGAAAAACGCGGAGGAAGGUGGGGAUGACGUCAAGUCAUCAUGCCCCUUAUGUUCUGGGCUACACACGUGCUACAAUGGUCUAUACAAUGGGUUGCUACACCGCGAGGUGAUGCUAAUCCUUAAAGUAGAUCUCAGUUCGGAUUGCAGGCUGCAACUCGCCUGCAUGAAGCUGGAGUCGCUAGUAAUCGUGGAUCAGAAUGCCACGGUGAAUACGUUCCCGGGCCUUGUACACACCGCCCGUCACACCACCCGAGUUGGGGGCACCAGAAGUCAUCGGCCUAACUUAGUGAAGGAGAUGCCGAAGGUGUGCCCGGUAAGGGGGGUGAAGUCGUAACAAGGUAGCCGUACCGGAAGGUGCGGCUGGAUCACCUCCUU